RNAcentral lists this long non-coding RNA (2045 nucleotides) under Gallus gallus (chicken). RNAcentral's name for it is "lncRNA (ENSGALG00010012641.1)". The record is from RNAcentral. Lineage: Eukaryota; Metazoa; Chordata; Aves; Galliformes; Phasianidae.
GGGCGGUUCAGCCCGACGUGCCGCGGCUCAAUGCCCACUCAGCCCCGAUCCGACCCCAGCGCCCACGAAGUCAGGCUGGGGCUGACUUCCACACCGCCCCGUCGCUUCUCUCCAGGACUGCUAAAUGAAAUUCGUUUCACGUAUAUAUUUAGAGAGUUUUCUCACUGAAAACAAACAGGCAAACAAGCAAACAAAAAAACCUCAAGAAGCUCCGCAGAGCAUAUCCUCCCUCCCCCCUGAGCUUUCGACACCUCGGACUGUUUAGAGAGAGAGAAAAGGGGCCUUUUGGAAAAGUUUUCCUCUGACUGCCACCCGGGUAAGGUGUCCAGAGCCCCCUCCCGCCCUAAUUCCCGGCUAUCUCCCAGGACUCUGUUUAUACCUCGCCGGUAAACGCUGGGUUUUAAAACCUUGUCACUAAUUGAGUGCUAACACUUCAGGUGCUAUAGAUUUGUUAAGAGCCAGUAGUCCAGAAAUAGCCUAUUAGGGUUUCCUUGCUCGAGCUGGUGCCAAUCUCCCCGUUCCCAUAGCGGGACCUCGGCAUCCCCGCGGCUGCCCGGGGCUGGGAGAGCUCUGCAUUCCCCCCUCCGCGUUCCUGAGAAGGAAAACGCCUUUGGAGCUGUCCAGGCGCUUCUCCCUGCUGCAGCCACAAUCCCCUCCUUCUCUUGAUCUGGUUCUUUUGGGCCUUUCUUGCUGGAACCGAGCGAGUUCCCAGCGCCCAUUUCCUUCGGGGAGAGCAUCCUCCCGGCCCCAGCGCCUCACCCCGGGGACUGCGCCGGGAAAAAGAGAUUUCUGCCCUUCCGAGCAGGGCAGAGCGCGGCCGGGAAGCACCCGCUUGGGUCUUCUCCCUUAUUUCGGGGCGAUUUCUGCCAAACCCAGUACAAAACUGCUGCGUGAUGUUUCGGUUUUAGAGUCUCCUCUGCUUUUUAGGGAGAAGCGCCCUGGAGACUGCUGGCGGCUGCUCUCCCAUCUCGGUCGGUGACUCGGGAUGGUGACCGGGACAGUGACUCGGGCAGCAGUUGUGGGCUUUCCCUGUUGCCCUCGCUGGGCUCCGUGCCUGGAAUCCGGCAAUUAGGCUGGCUGCUGCUCCGCGCCGCUGGAGCUUUGUUGCCUGCUCCGGGUUCGCUGGUGGGAGAGCAAUAUGGGACUUCGCUCCCGUCUCAGAGUCCGAGCAUUGCCGCAGCGAUCGCUCUUCGGUGCCGCCUCCGGUACGCGCCGUUUACGUGUGCUCGAGUAAAACCUUUUUAGUGGAGUGAGUUAAUUACCGAAGUGCUCGUUCGUUAAGUUUCCAAGGGGAACACGACGCGGUAGUGUUCUUUUAGGGACAGAAAAACUAAAUGAGGGGACUUUCACGUUUAGUAAAUACAACAACGGCUCGACAUGGGAAUCCUGUAGCCAGGGUGCAGCAGCGGUGUCAGUAGAUGGGCAAAAUCGUUUUCAAAACGAUUAUUUUUUUCGCACGCAGCGAGCCGUGGGUUGGUUCGAAGGACAAAGCUGUAACGGCGGCGGCUGCCCAGGCACAGCCCCGACCGCCGGUACCGGGCGGGUAGGAGCCGCCUCGGGGAUUUCAGGGCAUCCGCAGCUUCCUCCUGCCCGUGCAAAUCCGAUCCAUUAUGCGAUGUCACUCCGUGGGACUGCUCCGGGGUUCCAGAGCAGCGGGACACCGCUCCCAUCCCUCCCCGGGCUGGGGCUGCCCUUGGCCCUGCAGGCCGGGCGUGCGGCUCGUGGUGGGGGCACGUUUAACGUGAGAUGGUGUUUGGACAUUAUUUGUCCUAAAAGGCAUUCCCAACUCCCUCCUGCUGUCUCAGCUUCCCGGGGCUCCCAGCAGCCCGCACCCCCAGGAGAACCCCUUCCAGCGCCGAGCCGGGGAGGGGGGAGGAUGAAACCGGUCGAGUUACAGAACCCUGACCCCUACCUCCGCUCCAGCGUCUCCCGGCGAUGUCCCCUCGGCUCCUGCCAGGGCCCGGCUCGUGACCCACAACCGGAGAGGCAUGAAAUCGGCUGCCGAGAGGGCAGGGACGGGCGGUCGGGGGCUCCGCUCUCCCUCC